CUGCAACCGUCCUCUAUUCAUAGUAAUCUUUGAUCGAAACUCGAGUCUUGGGCAUCAUUGACGUUCGGUUCUCUGUCAUUCUCUUCGACGUUCUCUACGUGUGGACAGGGGGAUAGAAUUUUCUAGGUUACUUCGUACUUGUGUGCUCUUUGAUUUCCAGCAAGCCUCAUCGUUCAAUUAUUGGUUGAAGCAUCUUCAGUUUCUCACUUCUCGUCAUAGUCAUCUCUCUCACUUCGUCGUCG
This 242-nucleotide long non-coding RNA is filed under the name Olea europaea (common olive). RNAcentral's name for it is "long non-coding RNA (OEUR_LNC014789)". Lineage: Eukaryota; Viridiplantae; Streptophyta; Magnoliopsida; Lamiales; Oleaceae. The record is from RNAcentral.